UGGCGGACGGGCGAGUAACGCGUGGAAAACCUGCCGUAUACUGGGGGAUAACACUUAGAAAUAGGUGCUAAUACCGCAUAAGCGCACAGCUUCGCAUGAAGCGGUGUGAAAAACUCUGGUGGUAUACGAUGGUUCCGCGUCUGAUUAGCUAGUUGGUGGGGUAAUGGCCUACCAAGGCAACGAUCAGUAGCCGGCCUGAGAGGGUGAACGGCCACAUUGGGACUGAGACACGGCCCAAACUCCUACGGAAGGCAGCAG
Molecule: ribosomal RNA, 258 nt
Filed under: uncultured bacterium
Lineage: Bacteria
Description: partial 16S ribosomal RNA
Rfam family: Bacterial small subunit ribosomal RNA
Source: RNAcentral